UGGGUGAUAGGAAAACGGGCAUGAAUGGAGGUGCCCAGUCAGUGACCAAGUCAGGGCUCGGUUUGGGGGCGGAGUCAGGAUUUCACCAUGGCUGAGGGCAGUGGUCCAGCAGGAGGCAGGCAGGAAAGAAGGCAUCAGGGCAGGAACCAGAUAACUCAGUAACUCCAGUGUAAGGAGGGGAUGGAUCUGGAUGGCUUCCUUCCCCCAGCUGGAAGGUCUUCAGGCACAGCUGCUGCUUGAGCUCCUCCAACCACACAGAGAGGCCCCCUUGCCUUGGAGGAGGGCCUGGGACUUCCCCGAAACUUUUACUCAAUCUCUUUGAGGCUCCUGAAGUGCUGGAACUGCACGAGCUUGAACCACACAGACCUGGGUUCAACCCCCGGCCCCCGACUUGCUGUGUGAUCCUGGGCAAAUUACUCUCCCUCUCUGGCACCUGGUUUUCUCACUGGCCAAAAUGGGCAUCAAUUCAUCCUUAGCUCACAGGGUUGUGGUCAGGAAUUCACGAGAAAGCAGCCAGGACUGCCAUGUGACUGACACCCAUCACUCACUUGAGAUGGAAAUUGUCUAUCUCAAACUUCACCCUCAGCUCUCAAGGGCUCAUUUUUAAAACUUAGGCAAAUUUAUUUUGAAUGGAAUAUUGAAAGCACUGGUCUCAAACGGAAAACCACCAUCGCUUGCCAGAAGGAGGAAUCAGCUGUAAACUUGAAUACAAGGGAAAUAAAACAAGAUUCUUAAUUUGAGCUACAUCCUGUUUGUAGCUGGAGCCUCUCAACUGAGCCCUGUCCUCUCUUCCUUCACAAGUGACAUGUUCAAGACAUGAAAGCUGUUAAGACUUUCUUUGAGUAACUGGAGGUACAGGAAGAAAAAUCAAAAGGAAAUACGUGUAUAACAAUAUAAUUCAACGAUACUUCAUAGAGUCCUGAGACCCUAAGACCAUCCAGCAUCCUACCAUUAUAUGAUUUUGGAAAACACCAACCUAAUCUAACCCUCUCUUCCUAUUUUUCAGAUCAGAAAAUGAAUGCCCCAAGAGGGGAGGUGAUGAGCCCAUGAUCUCACAGGGUCUGUCCAAGGCACCUUUUCACUUUUGUGGGGAGAAGUUAUAAAGAAGGCCCUCCCUGGGGGCCUAGGGGUUAAGACUCAGCG
Molecule: long non-coding RNA, 1143 nt
Organism: Talpa occidentalis (Iberian mole)
Lineage: Eukaryota; Metazoa; Chordata; Mammalia; Eulipotyphla; Talpidae
Exons: 5
Source: RefSeq, a predicted model, not a curated record